AGAAUGUGCCACCCAUUCAGCCCUCCACACCCAGUGUACAGGAGAGCUUCUUAAACUCCCCCUCCUUCCAUCCUGUUGUGGAGGAGUUGAUCCCACUUCAAGUAGGGGACUUCUUGGCCAUUUUCAACUGGGAUGUGGUGUUGUCAAGGAGGACAGGAGGAUAAAGAACCAGGCAGUAGAGGAAAGUGGAUUACGGAGCAAAGGAACACUUCAGUUGUGAAAAGAGGCUAAUCCGAAAGGCUGCUUGGGGAGAUGGGCAAAUUAAAAAGUCAAAAACAUAUCAGAAAAACUCAUGGACGAGUGAAACACCAGCAACAGCCUUUUGCAGAAAUGGCUAGUUCUGAAGUCUUCGCUGGCUCUCUCUCUGACUGGGGGCCUGCCUUGCUUUCUGAUGUCUGUCUAAAUUAACCCCUGGUUAUUGAAAGUCAAGACCCAUUUGUAUGAGUCAAGAAAGAAGUUGUUCUCCUGAAAUCAUGAUGGCCGUCAACUAUGCAGGAGCAGCCCAGAGUUUCUGGUGAGGUGAGAACAUUGAUUUUCCUGUUGCUUGCACAACUCACCUUUUCACACUCCAGAAAACCUGGCAGAAAACAUGUUGGUGCUCAGGAUCAAGUGACUGAAUUAAGGUUGCCAUGACUCCCUACCUACUUUUGAUGCCAUUUUGUAACAUUGGUGUAAGUGGAGAAAAAGCUAUGAGGAGAGAACGUUGUGUGAUAAGGGAGGGCAUUCUAGCUUACCUCAUGUAAAGGAGGACCAAGAAUUGCACUUAACUCUGCUCUGAAAAAUCCCAUAUUAAUUUUUAAAUGUGUAUUCUACCCCAACGACAGUACUUAAAAAAUACGUAUUUUUUAAUUUCGGAAGAUAUUUCCUUCUGAUAUUAAAUGUUUCAAGACAGAAUAGAGUAGUAGAUAAUACCCACUUACCUCUGGGCUGGCACCCACUUACCUCUGUGCAACUACGGGCAAGCUAUUUGACCUCCUUUUGCCUCAGCUUUACCAUUCAUAAUAUGAAGACAAUAAUAAAUACUAUAUUAUGAAGUUGGUGUGAGGAUUAAGUUAGACAAUCCAUAGAAAUCCAGUGAGAAAAGUGUUUGGGACAUAUAAACACUCAAAAACUAUUAGUUUACAUAGAGGAAAUCGGAGACCAUUGGGGCAGAGGUGGCAACAUAAUUUUUGGAUCUUUCCAAAUGCUGCAUAAAAAAAGACAUAGACAACUAGAUAAAAAGAUAAAAAACCCUAUGAACAACACAAAAAAGUGACAAAAUAUUCCCAUUAACUCCAAAAAUAUAAGCAGAUGGGAGCAGAUUAUCAAUAGCCACAAGAACUAGAUGUUUUCAGCUUCCACGAAGGGGGAAGCAAUGGGAAGCACCAGACAUCUGUCAGACCUGAGAACAGGAGAGUCCCCGCAACGUCAACAGCUAUCCACUAAAAGUGCAGAAUGCCAGUUUGAGAAAUGGAGAGAUUUUGCCCGAUCUAACAGCAGUGCAAAUAGUCUGAGAGUAAGGACUGGGGGCACUGGAGCAGGCUAGCCCUUGUGAACCCUCAUCACAUAUUUGUCAUGGUUCCAUUCAUAAUAGAACCCCAUAUUGAGGAGAAGCAAGUAGAUUUGAAUGGAAGUUGAGGAUAGAGACAAUACAGUUGAAGGAAAGAGAAGGUCCAUAUAAAAAUAGAUGAGGAGAAAGAUCCAGAAAAUCUCAAAAAAAAAAAAAAA
This 1707-nucleotide long non-coding RNA is filed under the name Sus scrofa (pig). Its description in RNAcentral is "lncRNA (ENSSSCG00065017900.1)". The record is from RNAcentral. Lineage: Eukaryota; Metazoa; Chordata; Mammalia; Artiodactyla; Suidae.